GGGCAACUUGAUUUGAAUGAUUAAUGUAAUCAUCAAAGCUCAUAUCAGGUUGGCCCACAGCCCUACAUUCGAUAUCUACUGGCUCUUCACAGAUCUCUUUUCCAUUUUCAGCUAUGUUUUUAUAAGUCUCCAAGUCAUCCCAUCCUCCUACUGCAGGAUUAUAUACAUUAAACCAGUCAGACCACCAACAUAUCAUACAAAAUGUUGUAGUAGAGGAUUCUGUCAUAGUUGUCGGUGUAGGGGUAGAUGAUGUGGUAGGUCCUGGUGUUGUUGUAGUAGACGUUGUAGUAGUUGUCGGUGCAGGGGUAGAUGAUGUAGUAGGUUCUGGUGUUGUAGUAGUAUACAUUGUAGUAGUUGUCGGCGUAGCGGUAGAUGAUGUGGUAGGUUCUGGUGUUGUAGUAGACUUUGUUGUAGUUGUUGGUAUAGUAGAUGAUGUGGUAUGUUCUGGUGUUGUUGUAGUAGGUAUAGUAGUUGUCAGUGUUGGAGUAGAUGAUGUGGUAGGUUCUGGUGUUGUUGUAGUAGUUGUCGGUGUAGGGGUAGAUGAUGUGGUAGGUUCUGGUGUUGUUGUAGUAGUCUUUGUUGUGGUAGAUGAUGUGGUAGGUUCUGGUGUUGUAGUAGUAGAUGUAGUAGUUGUCAGUGUUGGAGUAAAUGAUGUGGUAGGUUCUUGUGUUGUAGUAGUAGACAUAGUAGUUGUCGGGUUAGGGGUAGAUGAUGUGGUGGGUUCUGGUGUUGUAGUAGGCUUUGUGGUUGUUGUCGGUGUAGGGGUAGAUGAUGUGGUAGGUUCUGGUGUUGAUGUAGUAGGCUUUGUGGUAGUUGUCGGUGUAGGAGUAGAUGAUGUGGUAGGUUCUGGUGUUGUAGUAGACUUUGUGGUAGUUGUUGGUGUAGGAGUAGGUGAUGUGGUAGGUUCUGGUGUAGUUGGUGUACAUUCCUCCACACAGAUUUGAUUUUGCUCAUCAAAAAUAGGCUUAUCCUCUGGACAUUUUGGAUAACAACCUGUAUAAAACAAUAAAUAAAUACAUAUGUAAAUAUAGUUGCA
Long non-coding RNA from Cyprinus carpio (common carp), 1036 nucleotides. The record is from Ensembl. NCBI's taxonomy places the organism in Eukaryota, Metazoa, Chordata, Actinopteri, Cypriniformes, Cyprinidae.